ACGGGAGGCAGCAGUGGGGGAUAUUGCACAAUGGGGGAAACCCUGAUGCAGCGACGCCGCGUGAGUGAUGAAGUAUUUCGGUAUGUAAAGCUCUAUCAGCAGGGAAGAAAAUGACGGUACCUGACCAAGAAGCUCCGGCUAAAUACGUGCCAGCAGCCGCGGUAAUACGUAUGGAGCAAGCGUUAUCCGGAUUUACUGGGUGUAAAGGGAGCGUAGACGGUGACGCAAGUCUGAAGUGAAAGGUGUGGGCUCAACCCGCAAACUGCUUUGGAAACUGUGUGACUAGAGUGUCGGAGAGGUAAGUGGAAUUCCUAGUGUAGCGGUGAAAUGCGUAGAUAUUAGGAGGAACACCAGUGGCGAAGGCGGCUUACUGGACGAUAACUGACGUUGAGGCUCGAAAGCGUGGGGAGCAAACAGGAUUAGAUACCCUGGUA
This 434-nucleotide ribosomal RNA is filed under the name uncultured bacterium. RNAcentral's name for it is "partial 16S ribosomal RNA". It matches the Rfam family "Bacterial small subunit ribosomal RNA", at positions 341 to 792 of the family's 1533-position model. The record is from RNAcentral.